UGGGGAAUAUUGGACAAUGGGCGAAAGCCUGAUCCAGCAAUGCCGCGUGAGUGAAGAAGGCCUUAGGGUUGUAAAGCUCUUUUAGCCGGGAAGAUAAUGACUGUACCGGGAGAAUAAGCCCCGGCUAACUCCGUGCCAGCAGCCGCGGUAAUACGGAGGGGGCUAGCGUUGUUCGGAAUUACUGGGCGUAAAGCGCACGUAGGCGGCUUUGUAAGUUAGAGGUGAAAGCCCAGGGCUUAACCCUGGAACUGCCUUUAAGACUGCAGAGCUUGAAUCGCGGAGAGGUGAGUGGAAUUCCGAGUGUAGAGGUGAAAUUCGUAGAUAUUCGGAAGAACACCAGUGGCGAAGGCGGCUCACUGGACGCGUAUUGACGCUGAGGUGCGAAAGCGUGGGGAGCAAACAG
This 403-nucleotide ribosomal RNA is filed under the name uncultured bacterium. Its description in RNAcentral is "bacterial SSU rRNA". It matches the Rfam family "Bacterial small subunit ribosomal RNA", at positions 355 to 775 of the family's 1533-position model. The record is from RNAcentral.